UACAUUUAGCCAAGUUGAAGAAGUGGUACUUCAAAAAAUAUUUUGAUAUUGUACUUUAUCCCAAAGAAAAUUAAUUAUUUUUAUCAAGUUAUUCAAGCUCAUGUUUCUGUAAGUCACUAUUCAGAGGCUUCUCAGAGAGGUUUUUUAGCUUUGGCAUCUAGGAUUUCAAUCCCAAUAAUAAAGGGGAGCAUUGUAGUAACCGAUAAAGUUUCCUACAUGUGAAAAAGAUGUCACAGGUUCAAGCCUUGGAAACAGCCUCUUGCAGAAAUACAAGGCACUAAGGUGAAUAAAGUGUUUAUGAAGGAGAAAAUUGCUUAAGUCCUUUCCUUCAAGAGACGUGAAGACAAUGACUAGACAAAUGACAACUUUUACAUUCUUUUUUUUGAGAAUUAGUUUUUUUGUGAACACGAUUUUUCAUUGAGAUCAGUUACUUCGGUUCCAAGGCUUAAUUAUUAUGUAUUGGCUUUUAUGUUUUGUUUUUUGGGAAUACGUUUUG
This is a long non-coding RNA of Capsicum annuum, 496 nucleotides long. RefSeq lists it as uncharacterized. The transcript is spliced from 3 exons. The record is from RefSeq and is a predicted model, not a curated record. Lineage: Eukaryota; Viridiplantae; Streptophyta; Magnoliopsida; Solanales; Solanaceae.